RNAcentral lists this ribosomal RNA (504 nucleotides) under uncultured bacterium. Its description in RNAcentral is "partial 16S ribosomal RNA". It matches the Rfam family "Bacterial small subunit ribosomal RNA", at positions 30 to 523 of the family's 1533-position model. The record is from RNAcentral.
AUUGAACGCUGGCGGCAGGCCUAACACAUGCAAGUCGAGCGGUAGCACAGGGAGCUUGCUCCUGGGUGACGAGCGGCGGACGGGUGAGUAAUGUCUGGGAAACUGCCUGAUGGAGGGGGAUAACUACUGGAAACGGUAGCUAAUACCGCAUAACGUCGCAAGACCAAAGAGGGGGACCUUCGGGCUUCUUGCCAUCAGAUGUGCCCAGAUGGGAUUAGCUAGUAGGUGGGGUAACGGCUCACCUAGGCGACGAUCCCUAGCUGGUCUGAGAGGAUGACCAGCCACACUGGAACUGAGACACGGUCCAGACUCCUACGGGAGGCAGCAGUGGGGAAUAUUGCACAAUGGGCGCAAGCCUGAUGCAGCCAUGCCGCGUGUAUGAAGAAGGCCUUCGGGUUGUAAAGUACUUUCAGCGGGGAGGAAGGUGUUGAGGUUAAUAACCUCAGCAAUUGACGUUACCCGCAGAAGAAGCACCGGCUAACUCCGUGCCAGCCGCCGCUGUAA